UUAAAGAUCUUCCAGUAGCACCAAGCUAAAAAUAAAUAGCUGCCUCACUGUGACCCUGAUGCAUUGAAAUGGAAUGGAUAUUCAGAGACAAGCAGAGACAGAAAAUGGGGGAAAUUGUAAGAUGGGAUUUUGCUGUUGCUCAUUUGCCAGGGAUCAGCUUUCCAUGCCUGAAUACAGGUGAGUCACCUGGUCAUAGAAGGAGACGAAGUUGGUCAGGCAGGACUUGCCUUUCAUGAACCCAUGCUGUCUGGGCCUCAUCCUCAGGCUGUCCUGCACAUGCUGUGUGAUUGCAUUCAAGAUGACCUGUUCCAUCACCUUCCCUGGCACCAAGGUAGACAGAUGAAGAUCACCUCUGCCCCUUGACAACCUCCUUUUACAGUACACAGUAACACUGGGGCCAGUAUUUGGUCUUAUUUAAAUUGCUACGUAAUCUGGUCAUCUUUUGAAUUGUGGGACGAUGCUGCAAAUGACAUGUAAGCUGCAUAUUCAUAGUCCAUAAUAAAAAGAAAGUAAAAAGGGAUAAUACAAAAAGGAACAACAUACUCUGCUAAAUCUCUGUCCAUGAAUGAGACAUUCCUAAUGCACCUGACUGAGAAUCUAUUAAAAUGAAUGCUGCCAGUUUGUCUCUCUGAAGUACAAUUUUAUUAGACUGUCAUUGUUAAGGUAUUUCUGCAAGCACAUAAGUUAUGAAAAAGCUGUUCUUCACCACCUUCAUUUCUUUGCUGUGCUUUGGUCAUGUUCUCUUAACUCCUGCUGCUGUUGCCACUGUUUGUUGAGGUUGUUGUUUGUUUUGUCUUAAUUUCCUUCUUCCUUUUCUUAUGCUAAAGUGUUCACAGAUUUUUGGAGGGAAAAUAACCUAUAGACCAAAAGUCUUUACCAUUUAACUCUGAACAGGCUGAUAUCUGUGGUCUCAGACAGACGCUGCCAUUGGCUAUGGCACAAUUUGAUUUGCUUUGUUUGAGUUUCUAUAGAGCAGCAUACCUAAGCAUUAUUAUUUUUGUACCCCUUAAGUUUAGUGGAGAAUAAGUUAGGCCAUUUUAUUUUGCUUGUUUGAAUGACUUGGUUACAACAGUUACAUUGUGGUUGAAACAUUAUGGUGGUUCCUGAGAACAGGAACAUGCAACAGUCAUUUCCAUUGCUUCACCAGGAUACACAUUUUAUUAAGGUUAUGUAUGUGGCUCAGCCAAAGAAUACCAAACAGUUUUACUAAAAUAUGCAUUUUUUUUUUCCUGACAUCUGGUGGACCAGCCAGUUGGUCAAAGCCUGGGGAGGGCUGUUCUGCACAGCAUCUUGUAAGGAUGUGGGAAGUUAUGUGUUUGGUAAUGUCUGUGCAAAAUCUUCAAUGCAUCUACACCAGCCUCUGUCUGUCAAGUAACUCAUAUAUUGGGAUAGCAAAUGUAAACAAACAGCAAAAUGCUAUUUUAACAGUACAGAUUUUACUAGUAAUGAAGCAUGAUAGAUAGUAUGUAUGAAAAUAUAGCUAUGCUAUAUAUAUGCUAUAGCUGGGCUACAUUUUCCUGUGGUAGAACUGAUAAUAUGAUGCGAGAAGCAGCAAUAAAUGCUUAAGCUUAAAGCUUAUUUUCAAACCUGUUCUGGAAGGUAGUAGGCUUGACAGCUGCAAGGCAACAACAUUAAGCUGAGAAGUUGUAGUGAAGGGAAACAGCUCCACAAAGAGACAGCUUGUCCUUCAGGGACAGUUUUUUCUGCAUUGUGUUGUGUCCAUUGCCCAAAACAUAGAGGCACUCGCAACGCAGUAGAAAACACACUGCAUUUGUACAAAGUCUUCUGCAGAUCUGUUGGUCCACCUACCCAUCUAAAAUAGAAGAACUAAGUCUCUUUUAUUCCUGUGGCUUUCAUCUUUUUGGGGUGUUAUAUUUUCCCACAGUUAUAUACUGUAUUACAGUGU
This is a non-coding RNA of Anas platyrhynchos (mallard), 1906 nucleotides long. Lineage: Eukaryota; Metazoa; Chordata; Aves; Anseriformes; Anatidae. The record is from RefSeq and is a predicted model, not a curated record.